Molecule: small nucleolar RNA, 135 nt
Filed under: Tursiops truncatus (common bottlenose dolphin)
Lineage: Eukaryota; Metazoa; Chordata; Mammalia; Artiodactyla; Delphinidae
Description: Small nucleolar RNA SNORA70 (ENSTTRG00000023983.1)
Rfam family: Small nucleolar RNA SNORA70
About the family: snoRNA U70 seems to be exclusive to mammals and is a member of the H/ACA class of snoRNA which contain H (ANANNA) and ACA box motifs. H/ACA box snoRNAs are involved in the conversion of uridines to pseudouridines (5-ribosyluracil) a constituent of structural RNAs (transfer, ribosomal, small nuclear, and small nucleolar).
Source: Rfam by way of RNAcentral
UUGCAGCCAGUUAAGCCUACUGUGCUCUUUUCUCCAUGGGGGCCUGGUGUGCAAUGGCUGCAAACCGCAGCCUCCUCGGUAGUGUACGCAGCCUGUUGCCUGUACCGCUUGCCCCAAGGGAACUUGGAGACAGCU